GUCCACACCGUAAACGUUGGGCGCUAGGUGUGGGACCUAUUCCAUGGGUUCCGUGCCGCAGCUAACGCAUUAAGCGCCCCGCCUGGGGAGUACGGCCGCAAGGCUAAAACUCAAAGGAAUUGACGGGGGCCCGCACAAGCGGCGGAGCAUGCGGAUUAAUUCGAUGCAACGCGAAGAACCUUACCUGGGUUUGACAUAUGCCGGAAAGCUCUAGAGAUAGAGCCCCUUUUGUCGGUAUACAGGUGGUGCAUGGCUGUCGU
RNAcentral lists this ribosomal RNA (260 nucleotides) under uncultured bacterium. RNAcentral's name for it is "partial 16S ribosomal RNA". It matches the Rfam family "Bacterial small subunit ribosomal RNA", at positions 793 to 1055 of the family's 1533-position model. The record is from RNAcentral.